This 266-nucleotide long non-coding RNA is filed under the name Mytilus galloprovincialis (Mediterranean mussel). The record is from RNAcentral. Lineage: Eukaryota; Metazoa; Mollusca; Bivalvia; Mytilida; Mytilidae.
GGGGGGGGGGGGCUAGGAUGAAAUUUGAAAAAAAAUAGGCAGGACAGGAGUUUUGAGUAAAAAAAAAGGCAGGAUGUGACACUUGCCAAAAAAAGUCAGGACGACAAUUUAGGUAAAAAAAAGUCAGGAUAAACUAAAAAAAAAAAGGCAGGACCGAUUAGAGUGAAAAAUAAAAAGGCAGGACAGAGAUUACAGCUUUAAAAAAAUGCAGGACAAAUUUUUUCAUCCUAGCCCCCCCCAUAAAAAUCAAAUGGUAGCUCCCUUAG